AGAUUGAACGCUGGCGGCAGGCCUAACACAUGCAAGUCGAGCGGUAGAGAGGUGCUUGCAUCUCUUGAGAGCGGCGGACGGGUGAGUAAUGCCUAGGAAUCUGCCUAGUGGUGGGGGAUAACGUUCGGAAACGGACGCUAAUACCGCAUACGUCCUACGGGAGAAAGCGGGGGACCUUCGGGCCUCGCGCCAUUAGAUGAGCCUAGGUCGGAUUAGCUAGUUGGUGAGGUAAUGGCUCACCAAGGCGACGAUCCGUAACUGGUCUGAGAGGAUGAUCAGUCACACUGGAACUGAGACACGGUCCAGACUCCUACGGAGGCAGCAGUGGGGAAUAUUGGACAAUGGGCGAAAGCCUGAUCCAGCCAUGCCGCGUGUGUGAAGAAGGUCUUCGGAUUGUAAAGCACUUUAAGUUGGAGGUAAGGGUUGUAACCGUAAUACGUUAGCAACUUUGACGUUACCGACAGAAUAAGCACCGGCUAACGUCGUGCCAGCAGCCGUA
Molecule: ribosomal RNA, 499 nt
Filed under: uncultured soil bacterium
Lineage: Bacteria
Description: bacterial SSU rRNA
Rfam family: Bacterial small subunit ribosomal RNA
Source: RNAcentral